RNAcentral lists this long non-coding RNA (762 nucleotides) under Androctonus crassicauda. Lineage: Eukaryota; Metazoa; Arthropoda; Arachnida; Scorpiones; Buthidae. The record is from RNAcentral.
AUUUUUUUCCGAGGUGUGUUACAAAAUUUUGCAACGCACCUCUGAGGUCAUCCGGUCUCUUUUGCUUCCAAUUGUGCAGUACUUCGCCCGGUGACGUCACACAAGCUGGCUCGUGUCACCAUAGCAACUACGGCCGAAGAGGAAAGAGGUCGUGUUACACAUCAGUGUGUAUGUGGAAGUGCAGAAUCAACAACAUAUCAAUGGAAGAACACUCGGAUCCCUCAAGCUACAUAAAAGUCUUUCCUUGAAUUGUGUUACUACUUUCUUCUUCAAGUAAAUCUUUAAAUCUUUAAAGAAAAAAAUAAUAAAAAGAAUAAAAAAAAUAAUGGAUUCUACAAAUAAUUCCAUUAAUGGAUUAAUCGUAGGAGUUGUCGUAGCUUUAAUGCUCACAGCUAUAUUAGGAGGGUUAUUUUUCUUUAUCUCCUGUUGUUGUGCAUUCGCCGAAGACAAUGUGGAAAAACUUAAACGAAAAUUUGCUCCGACUCCAGUUAACAAGAAGGACAAUCAAGUUUACAUAAUUAGCGUACACGAUGUUAAACCACCAAAAAGUUAACUUUAUCGUUAUGUGAAUUAUAUACAUACAUAUUAAGUAAAUUUUUUGUCAACACAUUAUUCUACCUCGCUUAUGUUGUUACUGUUUUUUUUUUUACGAACUGUGAUUUUUGAUUGUUUUUUUUAAACUUGUGAUGUAGUUUAUUAUUAUUUUUACUUUUUUUUUUUUCCUUUUCUUAUUUUUAACAAGACGUGUCGGAGCUGAAUACG